Molecule: long non-coding RNA, 699 nt
Organism: Cannabis sativa
Lineage: Eukaryota; Viridiplantae; Streptophyta; Magnoliopsida; Rosales; Cannabaceae
Exons: 2
Source: RefSeq, a predicted model, not a curated record
AUAAUCUGAAAAUUAUCUGAGUUUAUUUGUGUGUGCAAGUGGCUAUUUUACCCUUGAAGUGCUUAUGUGGGUGUUUUAUGGCCUUAAGGGCAAUUGAGUAAUUUUGCCAUUUUGGAGUAAGAUUCAUAAAAGGGAGUUUAAGCAAAAUAAAGAUUUAUUUUUCUGCAUUUUUUCCCAGCCCUUUGGCUGAACCCCCUUUCCUCUCAAAACUCAUUCUAACUCUUGAUUUCGGGUUGUGCUUGCUUGGAUUCAAACUUGGGGUUUGUGGCUUUUGUGAUUGAGAUUGAAAAGAGUUAUUUUCGCAUAAGAAAAAGGAAAAUUUCUGGGCUUUUUCCUCUGCCCUAGCUGAACUCCCUCUCCCUCUUUUCUUCAUAUUUUUAUUUUGCUAAGUGUUGGAAAAUUCAUCUUGAAAGCUUGGAUUCUUGGUGGGUUUUGUGCUUAGCUUUGUUUGGAGCUUGAGGAAAGGGUAAAUCGGUUUCUAAUCAGCCAUGAGUGUAGGAGUGGGACGAUAAAUGUACAUGUUCAGGCCACACUAGACCAAGCGGGUUGGGGUCUACCAGUGUUGGAACUUUUGUAACUUUGUUUUGCUGCUUAGGUCGGCUAAGGGAAAAGACUUGUAAUAUUUUGUAAAACAAUUUUCGGGAUUCCAAAACAUGUAACUUUUGUUUGUUAGGUUAAAAUUAUUACAAGUUUAUUUUU